This 253-nucleotide ribosomal RNA is filed under the name uncultured Lachnospiraceae bacterium. Its description in RNAcentral is "partial 16S ribosomal RNA". It matches the Rfam family "Bacterial small subunit ribosomal RNA", at positions 524 to 776 of the family's 1533-position model. Lineage: Bacteria; Bacillati; Bacillota; Clostridia; Lachnospirales; Lachnospiraceae. The record is from RNAcentral.
UACGUAGGGGGCAAGCGUUAUCCGGAUUUACUGGGUGUAAAGGGAGCGCAGACGGCAGUGCAAGUCUGGAGUGAAAGCCCGGGGCUCAACUCCGGGACUGCUUUUGAAACUGUGUGACUGGAGUGCAGGAGAGGUAAGCGGAAUUCCUGGUGUAGCGGUGAAAUGCGUAGAUAUCAGGAGGAACACCAGUGGCGAAGGCGGCUUACUGGACUGUAACUGACGCUGAGGCUCGAAAGCAUGGGUAGCGAACAGG